UACGAAGGGGGCUAGCGUUGCUCGGAAUCACUGGGCGUAAAGCGCACGUAGGCGGAUUGUUAAGUCAGGGGUGAAAUCCUGGAGCUCAACUCCAGAACUGCCUUUGAUACUGGCGAUCUUGAGUCCGGGAGAGGUGAGUGGAACUCCGAGUGUAGAGGUGAAAUUCGUAGAUAUUCGGAAGAACACCAGUGGCGAAGGCGGCUCACUGGCCCGGUACUGACGCUGAGGAGCGAAAGCGUGGGGAGCGAACAGG
Molecule: ribosomal RNA, 253 nt
Filed under: uncultured bacterium
Lineage: Bacteria
Description: partial 16S ribosomal RNA
Rfam family: Bacterial small subunit ribosomal RNA
Source: RNAcentral